This 662-nucleotide long non-coding RNA is filed under the name Salvia miltiorrhiza (redroot sage). RNAcentral describes it as "long non-coding RNA (SMIL_LNC014121)". Lineage: Eukaryota; Viridiplantae; Streptophyta; Magnoliopsida; Lamiales; Lamiaceae. The record is from RNAcentral.
UUCCUUCGCCCCGAUUUGGGCUAGGGCUUUGCCGCUCCGCCUCUCCAAUCGGCUGCAUCUGCGAUUUGGGGCUAGGGCUUUGCCGCCGCCGCCGAUCUGCCUCUCCAGGCAGCGCCUCUUCCUUCGGGUUUGGAGAUUGAGGGGAUUUCGCUGCGAUUUGGGCGAGCGGCUGAAAAUCGAAGCCUGGGUCCGCCGAUUUGGGGGUGAGCGAUGGAGUGUCGAUUGGGUUAUCUCUUUCCUUUUUUGGGUUUUUAGCUGAAAAUUGAAGCGUGGUUUGGGUGAGGAAGGUGAUGCAAAGCCUGGAUUAAUUUUUGAUUGAAGCCUUUUUUUGGCUUUGGUUGAGAACCGAAGCCUAGCUUUGAUGGGCGCCGAAGCUCGCCUGUCGUUGAUUCGCCUGUGAAGGUGAAGUCUGGUUUGGGUGAGGGGCGAGCAGCGACCACCGGCGCCGGCCCCGGCGUCGCCGUCGCCAUCACCAGAUGCAGUGAAGUUGGGUUGAAGAAGAUAAAGUUAGGUUGAAGGAAAUUUUAAUUAAUUCAUUAAUUUUGAUGGACCACAUUUAAUUAAACACUAACUAUCCCUUUCUUAAUCUCUGUGCCGAAAAGAACGUGACCAACUUUAAUGGGACGGAGGGAGUAUAAAAAAAUACAUAAACUUUAAUAUUG